RNAcentral lists this transfer RNA (57 nucleotides) under Iguana insularis sanctaluciae. Its description in RNAcentral is "partial tRNA-Ser". Lineage: Eukaryota; Metazoa; Chordata; Lepidosauria; Squamata; Iguanidae. The record is from RNAcentral.
GAGAGGUGUUUAGAACACUAAGAACUGCUAAUUCUUACCCCUGAAGUUAAAAUCCUC